AUACACGAGUGAGAAGCAGCCCAGACCCUGUGAUAGAUGGAGAAAAAGUGAUAUUAAGCUGUUCAACCAGUUGCCCUCUGGAUAGCAAACAUACUUACAUCUGGUAUAAGAAUGGACAACAGGUAACAGAUGGAUUGACAUUAUUAAACAAGCUGUACCUGGACUCAAUCAACAGUGAGGAGCUAUAUGAGUAUUCCUGUACUGUAAGAGAUGCAAUAGACAAAACAAAUGAAGCAGUGGACAGCUCAGUGUUUCUCUCUCUGUUGGUGUUUCUGCCUCAGUUUCUCAUCAUUGAAGCUCUGUAUGUGCAUGAAUAAAUUGAAAUCAUCUAAAAACAAGAUGACAAAGAAAUAGAGAUGUUGCAGGUCUGUGAGUAGAUCAGCUGUCUGUCCAUCAGAACUACUGGAGUGAUGUCACAACUCUCUUUAUGACAUCAUCACCUAGCAACAGUCUCUCAGCAGUGACAUCAGUGAUGCAGUGAUGUCAUAUACAGUGAUAUAUUAAUGACAGCUCAGUGUAAAUAAUCUAAUGUUCAAAUAGAUGAAUUAUUCAUUGAAGUAUUGAGUUUAUCAUUCAACAGUCUUGUGUCAGUGUCAGAUCAACUGUAACAUCACAAUGUAUAAAUCCUGUAAAAACUUUGCUAUAGUGCAUCUUUAUGUAGAUGAUACUGUGAUCUACUUUCAUCUUCACUAUAAGUCAGGCUGUUAUUCAACUCAAUGCUGUUUUUAGUUAGGUUAGGAUUUUAUUACAGGGCUGUGCUUUAAUCUUGCAGUUAGGAAAUCAUUUGUUCAGUUUAUUUUAAAAUGUUUUGAACUUUGGGGACAUUAUUUACAUGCAUGUUGAUUUCACUGCAUUUCACAGUUUAGACACUGACUGUGUAUCAUAGCUCUUUAUGUUUUAUAAUUCAUUGUCAUUGUUGUAUAUUUUAUAAUACAGUCUUUGGUUUCAUUAACUUUGAGGAGACUGCAGCAUUGAUUUAUUUCUUUAAGCCGUAUUGAGUUAACUUCUUUUUUGGGUAACCUACUUUCACUUACAAAUAGUUGCUAUGAUUUUGUCUCUUCUAGAUGUCGACUCUUCAGUGUAUUUUGGUUUUAUUCAGGACUCAGUAGAAAAUGUUUUGUUUAUUCUGCACUCUGGUCAUGAAUUAAUCUUCAGAAUAUAACAACAGCUUGGUCAUUUUUUUUAUCAUGGGAAAGUUUAAAGCACUUAUAUGAUUUAUGCUUAAAAAUAAGUUUAUCUUGUUUUAGGGUGUUUUAUUGCUAUUCUCAAGCUGGAUUUUGUAUAAAUACAUUUGCAUGACAUUUCAGUAUUUACA
Molecule: non-coding RNA, 1315 nt
Organism: Misgurnus anguillicaudatus (oriental weatherfish)
Lineage: Eukaryota; Metazoa; Chordata; Actinopteri; Cypriniformes; Cobitidae
Source: RefSeq, a predicted model, not a curated record